GAGUUUGAUUCUGGCUCAGGAUGAACGCUAGCGGCAGGCCUAACACAUGCAAGUCGAGGGGCAGCGCGGCGGUGUUCUCACCGCCGGCGGCGACCGGCGCACGGGUGCGUAACACGUGAGCAACCUACCCGCCACAGGGGGAUAACCGCCGGAAACGGCGCCUAAUACCCCGUGACACCAUUAGGGGCAUCCCUUUUGGUUGAAAGCCUUCGGGCGGUGUCGGAUGGGCUCGCGGGGCAUUAGCUAGUCGGCGGGGCAGCGGCCCACCGAGGCAACGAUGCCUAGGGGUUCUGAGAGGAAGGCCCCCCACACUGGGACUGAGACACGGCCCAGACUCCUACGGGAGGCAGCAGUGAGGGAUAUUGGACAAUGGGCGUAAGCCUGAUCCAGCCAUGCCGCGUGGAGGCGACGGCCCUACGGGUCUUAAACUCCUUUUGACCGGGAGCAAUAAGGGCCACUGGUGGC
This 465-nucleotide ribosomal RNA is filed under the name Bacteroidia bacterium canine oral taxon 387. RNAcentral describes it as "bacterial SSU rRNA". It matches the Rfam family "Bacterial small subunit ribosomal RNA", at positions 9 to 465 of the family's 1533-position model. Lineage: Bacteria; Pseudomonadati; Bacteroidota; Bacteroidia. The record is from RNAcentral.